GUUGAGCUCUUGAUAAACUCUGCGAGCAAAUUCAUCAAUAAGAGCAACAAUGUCACUCGAAAUUAUGUCAACAUAUUUAUUAAUCAGUAUGCCUACUCCCCUUAUUAGGUAGAAGUCUAAUCCUAUUGCUUCUUCAAUACCUGGCCGUUGCACCUUCACAGCAACGACCUGGCCCGAGUACUUCAGUUGAGCUUUAUAAACUUGACCAAGACUGGCUGCAGCAAUAGGCGAUGGAGAUAUAGAUGAGUAGAUAGUUUCAAGCGGACGACCCAACUCUCUCUCAAUGCAUGAAAAUGCUUGUGCAUCUGGAAAUGUUGGCAAAGCAUCCUGCAGCUCCGAGAGCUCCUCAAGGUACUCGGGUGGGCAUAAAUCAGGCCUAGUGGAUAAACCCUGACCAAUUUUAACAAAUGUAGGCCCCAAUCUGGUGAAAGUCUGCCUAAGUUCAAUGGCACGCAAUCUCAUUUUCCGAUCAAGCUCCCCGUUCAACUGGUCAAGCCAUACUUUUAGGGCGAAUGAACCAAGUCCAUUGAAUAUUUGAAGAGCUCUUCUCAGUACCUUAAUUGGGCGAGUGCCAUACUUGCUGGAUAACAUAUCAGGGCUAUAAACAGAAGCAUCCACAGCACGUGUCAUAGCUCUGGCUUCAGAUUGCAUAUCGUCGGCUCGAUCUCUGCUAGAUGGACCAACUUGAAGGGUUCGCCCAGUAACAUUACUGUUCCCGGCUACAUCUCUAAUUGCUGGUACUAGUUGAGGCCUCGCCUCCACCUGAGCUGCUCGAGGAAGAUUUAGUCUUAACUUAACUCUCCGUCCGCCGGAGCUAUUAGCUCCUGAAAGCCGAACCGCAUCGGCGCAGGAAGGCAGCAUAACAUGAUGAUUGGCCGUGAAUGAUGCCACGGAAGAACUCAUCCUGACAGACGCUGCCGGUGGAGAAACUUACGGAAAGGGUAGGAAGUACAGGUGGAGCAACA
Molecule: unclassified non-coding RNA, 965 nt
Filed under: Hevea brasiliensis (rubber tree)
Lineage: Eukaryota; Viridiplantae; Streptophyta; Magnoliopsida; Malpighiales; Euphorbiaceae
Source: RNAcentral